GAUAUUGUAGCUCAGACUGGACAGAGCAGCGAAAUACCAUUCGUCAGGCGGAGGUUCGAAUCCUCCCAGUGUCUCCA
RNAcentral lists this transfer RNA (77 nucleotides) under Antarctobacter albus. RNAcentral describes it as "Mameliella alba tRNA-OTHER". It matches the Rfam family "tRNA". Rfam says of the family: Transfer RNA (tRNA) molecules are approximately 80 nucleotides in length. Lineage: Bacteria; Pseudomonadati; Pseudomonadota; Alphaproteobacteria; Rhodobacterales; Roseobacteraceae. The record is from RNAcentral.